This is a long non-coding RNA of Canis lupus familiaris (dog), 488 nucleotides long. RefSeq lists it as uncharacterized. The transcript has 3 exons. Lineage: Eukaryota; Metazoa; Chordata; Mammalia; Carnivora; Canidae. The record is from RefSeq and is a predicted model, not a curated record.
GUGCAUGUGUGUUACCUGGGAUAUUGUUAAAAUGUGGGCUCUGAUUCAACAGGCCUGGGUGGGGCCUGAGACUGCAUUUCUAGCCAGCUCCCAGGUGAUACCUAUACUUCUGGUCCUGGUGGAACCACUCUGGGGAACAAGGCCCUUAUGGGCUUCUAUGAGAAUUCAUUCUGGAUUUCUGGGUCACAGAAGUGGCCCCAAGACUCUGAAGUGAUGUCCCUGACUCGCAAUGCCCAGCCAAGUCAAUGAGAGACCCAAGAUUGGCAUCCUGGCUUUAAACAGGUGUUCUUGUCUUGGUUUUAUCCUUGAGGAACAUGAAGUUCAAGACCAAGGCCAUGGAGCUAAAAGGCCACAUCUGAGGGAGAACCGCAAGAAAACGGGAUGGAAGGACCGGGCCUGGGGUUUUCAGGCACCGAUGCUGAAGGCAUCUGACCAGUGGCCUGAAUACUUGUGCAACUCCACAGCAAGUGGGUUUUAGCAAAAAUAAA